This 3503-nucleotide long non-coding RNA is filed under the name Canis lupus familiaris (dog). RNAcentral's name for it is "lncRNA (ENSCAFG00845008648.1)". Lineage: Eukaryota; Metazoa; Chordata; Mammalia; Carnivora; Canidae. The record is from RNAcentral.
UUUUUUUUUCUGUUAAAAAUAGGUGGAUUAAAUAUGUUCUGAAUUUGAUUUUUUAAAAAUUCUAGUUACAUAGUUGAAGCAUGUGUUUUUUUCUAAAUGACUAGAUCUUACAGAGAUUCACAGAGUUAACAAAAAUUUUCAUUUUUAUGCUACCCAAAAAGAAAGGGAUGAUCUAAAAAAAAGAAAAGAAAGGGAUGAUCUGUCACUAUUCUGAGCAAGUCUGGCAUAAUAUGAUGAACAAAAGAGCACAUGCAUAUCUUAAGUGACUUCUUCCAAAGGUCCAGAAAAGAAGAACAUUUCCAUCAUCAAUCACCACAGUACUGGGAAUUUAGGACCCUUCCUCUUAUGGCACUAACUGGAGGGAGUUCUGAUAGUUAAUAAAGAAGACAAGGCAUGCAGUAAGCAAAGUGCUAAGACACAUUGAGGAUAACCAUUCACUCAGAGUGUCAACAACUCAGGAAAAUGUAAUCAACCAACUUUUUUUAACACAGAAGUAAAAACCGAUCCUUCUCUUCGGAUUUACACAUAGUACAGGUGUCUGAAUUCAAACUGCCAACUAAUAAUUCAGUUGCAUUACCCAGCUUUAUGUAUAAAGGCUAGAGGCUUUAACUCUUUCCAGAACAAUCUGUCAGACAAAAAUCUCUCAAAGAGUGGCAUUUGUUUGGGUAGUAUCAGGCCCCAUAAGAGCACUUCUAUAAAGAGAGAUGCUUAUUGCAUUAAGUACAUUAAGGAGAGGGGGGUAUUCCUUGAGUAUAGAGCUAUUCUUAUAUUUUAAAAGACAAACUGUAAUUUUCACAGGAAAUUAAAUGGCCUGGUCUUUCUCUCACUUUGAGAAACCGUUCUUCCAGAAAAGAAAUCUGCGAUAAAAUUUUAUAAAGCAGAAUAUCACCAACUUGGCGUUUUAAAAAGAGAAAUGGCAAAGGAAAGAAAAUAAAACUUUAAAUAAGAUAAAUUAACUCUAAUUAUAUAGCUAUAGAAAUGUAAUUAUGUUCGUUGAAGAUAAUAAAAUGUUUCCAUCAGAGCUUAAAGUUAAAGAAAGCAUCUUGUCUCAGCAAAUUAAAAAAAAAAGGCUCUAACUAAUCAUUAUACUGUCCAGUGACAAGACCAGCACAGUCAUAUAUUCCCUACCCCAUUCUAAACUGCUAUUUAUAUUACAUCAUUUAUAAAUGCAUAUUUUUUGUAAACUGGUUAAGUAUUUGUGAGUUCAUAUAAUAGUAAAAAUAAGUAACAACAUAAAAUCAGUUAUUUAAAAUUCAAAAGUAAUAACUGUAAGGCUUUGAUUUACCAAAAUGUGCUUAAUAGUGUUCUGAAUCUUUCCCUUGGUGAUAAACAAUAUGAAUUACAUAAUGGCAUAUAUUUGUUUAAUAUUUGGGCCAACUUUUUAUUCAGGGACAAAUGUUCCAGUUUGUCAAAUAGCCAACGCUUUAUCUAUUUUUUACUGUUACCAGGCUGAUGGCCAUCUCUGUGUGUGUAUGUGUGUUUUAACAUCUUCACUAGAUGGCAAAUGAAUAAAGUAUAAAAACAAUUUAGCCCCAAAAGCAUUCUGUUUCAAGAAAGUUUGUACUCACUAACAAUUAGGACAACUUAGGACUUUCAGUUAUCUUUUUGGUCCUCAUUCUGCAAAUAGACCAAAAGGUUCCCAGAAAAAUGGGGACUCUUGACUGCCAGAUAUAGAAAGAAUGAGAUUAGAUUACUUUGAACAUAUACUUUGACACUAUUUUCUCUCCUGCCCUGUGGUCAUAAGGAAUCAUAUAUAGACAGAAUUUCUGUAAACUAUGGUCCACAUGUGUUUACUAUGCUAUGGAAAUACGUUUCCUCCUCAUGCACCUCUCUGCUAGAAUUUCUGAAAAACCCAAGAGGAGAUCUCACCUGGACCAGUCAUUGGUACUCAAGCUCCUAAUCACCUUGAGCGGUCAAUGGAUGAACAUGUGACUCAACCCAGGAAAACUUGAAUUCUCCCCUGGGAAUUUGAAAACUUAGGAUAAAAGUAACUGGCUAACUGAUUAAAGUCAAAUUAAAAGGACGCCUGGGUGUCUUGGUGUUUGUCUGCCUCGGCUCAGAGCAGACACCGGGUCUGGGAUCAAGUCCCACAUCAGGCUCCUUGGAGGGAGCCUCUGCCUAUGUCUCUGCCUCUCUCUCUGUGUCUCUCAUGAAUACAUUAAUAAAACCUUUAAAAAUAAAGUUAAAUUAAAAUGUUAAGAUGCUAACAGUCACACACACCAUGGUAUUAAAAAAAGAACAUUUUCGGGAUCCCUGGGUGGCGCAGCGGUUUAGCGCCUGCCUUUGGCCCGGGGCGUGAUCCUGGAGACCCGGGAUCGAAUCCCGCGUCGGGCUCCUGGUGCAUGGAGCCUGCUUCUCCCUCUGCCUGUGUCUCUGCUUCUCUCUCUCUCUGUGACUAUCAUAAAUAAAUAAAAAUUUAAAAAGAGAACAUUUUCUGUAGUAGAAAAUAAUAAAAGAGACGUGUAGAAAGGGAAAGAUAUGUGUUGUGUAUGUGUGUGUGUGUGUAGGUGUGUGUGUUGGGGUGUGGGUUUGUGUGUAAGAAAGCAAAGGAAUAGAGGUAAGGAAAGAAGAAGAGAGGGAGGAGCAAAGGGAGAAGAAGAAGUAAAGGAAGAGAAUGAAAGAGAGGGAGAGAGAGAGAGAAGCGAGGCCAGAAGGAAGAACACAGAUUUCAAUUUCCCUUAAUACCAGCCAUGCUUCAACCAAUUCUAUUCUUGUCCUUUACAGAGUUUGAAUAGGGGAACCUAUCUUUUUUUCUCUUUUUAAAAAAUUUAUUCAUGAGAGACACACAGAGAGAGGCAGAGACACAGGCAGAAGGAAAAGCAGGCUCCCUAUGGGGAGCCCCAUGUGGGACUUGAUCCCAGGACCUCAGAUCAUGAUCUGAGCCAAACCAGACACUCAACUACUGAGCCACCCAGGUGCCCCACUCUCUUGUUGCUGAAACUAGUUGUAGUUGGAUGGGGGCAUAACAGAAGGACUAAGUGGAAUACACAUAUUAAUUGAGGGGUCUGAUCCAAAACUCAGGUUCCGAUGAGUUUCUGCUUUGGUCAUGGUGGCUGAGGGGUCCUGAUGGCAAGAAAUGCAGCAUUAGUGUGGUUUCUCCAGGCUGAACCAUUGGAAAGUACGAAGGUAGGAUAUCAACAUGUGGAAGAGCUUACAAACAUAAGGUAACUCACUAUACAGACCUCAAACAGCACUGACCACUGUUAAUGUAUUUAGAUCAUCGUGAAAUGAUGUAAUUUAUGUAAGCAACCUAGGUAUUUUUAUGCACACAUUUUCACUUAGCAAUGCCUAUAAAAUCAGCAAUAAAGUAAGCAAUAAUUUUAUGCAUGAUAUUGGCAAGCCAACAAACAAUCAUCUGGAUACUUACUUCAUAAUAUUUACCUGCGCCUAAAUCAUUUUUUAUACUAAAUUUGUAUAAAGUAUACAAAUAGGCAAUUGAGUGUGAUUUCAGUUUUGUAAGAUGUUGACUUUCUUCUCUCUCUCUUGUGGCCCCUCUUUCUCUC